AACAGGGAUUAGCCCAGCACCGAAUCCUGCAGUCUUUGCUGUUGGGAACUGUGGUGUUUAGGACGGCUUUUGUGCUAAUUGGCGCACCUAAAGUUCACUUGAUUGUGACUUUAGGCCCAGAGAGGGUGUAAGGCCCGUUUGGGUGUGCUUUUUAGUGCCUGAGUUGUCCUUGGAGUCGGGUUGUUUGAGAUUGCAGCCCAAAGCGGGUGGUAAACUCCAUCCAAGGCUAAAUACUAACAUUAGUCCGAUAGUCAACAAGUACCGUGAGGGAAAGUUGAAAAGAACUUUGAAGAGAGAGUUCAAUAGUGCGUGAAACCGCGUAGAGGUAAACGGGUGGAGCCGAAGUUGACUUCGAGGAUUCAGCUAGUUGGGCUGCUGGUGUGGUGACUAAGUCACCUGUUGGCUGGUCUGCGCUGUGUCUGGUGGCUUGAUUGGUGCACUUUCUCGUUGUUGUCACUAGGACCGGUGGAUUGGUGGUCUGUUGUUGGGUGAUGGUAGCGUGCUUAUGUGCGUGUUAAUCUCCUGACAUGGAACUGCUGAGACACUGGUGCUGCGAUGCAAGCUUAUCAUGGCAUGCAUGUCUUGUUGUGCUGGUCUGCUCUUGGUUGACUUCUCGGAAGAUUGCCGGGGUGGGGCUGGUAUUCGACGGGGCCUCUGCAUUUUGCGUCAACAGUCUCUGGUGAUAAUGUAGGUAAUCCACCUGACCCGUCUUGAAACACGGACCAAGGAGUCUAGCAUGUGCGCGAGUCAUUGGGCGUUACUAAACCCUAAGGCGAAGUGAAAGCAAAGACCUGUGUACUCAGGUUUAGGUGUGAUCCUAACUUUUCUAGGUUGGGCGCAACACCGGCCCGUCUUCUGGAGUUUUCUCUGGGGCGGAGCAAGAGCGCACAUGCUGAAACCCGAAAGAUGGUGAACUAUGCUUGCGCAGGUCGAAGCCAGAGGAAACUCUGGUGGAGGACCGUAGCGAUUCUGACGUGCAAAUCGAUCGUCAGACGUGAGUAUAGGGGCGAAAGACUAAUCGAACCAUCUAGUAGCUGGUUCCCUCUGAAGUUUCCCUCAGGAUAGCUGGCGCAUGUGUGGGAAAUAGUUUUAUCCGGUAAAGCGAAUGAUUAGAGGUAUUGGGGUCGAAAUGACCUCAACCUAUUCUCAAACUUUAAAUGGGUGAGAAGCUUGACUCCUUUAAUUAGAGUCGGGCAUUGAAUAUGUGUGCCUAGUGGGCCAUUUUUGGUAAGCAGAACUGGCGAUGUGGGAUGAACCAAAAGUCUAGCUAAGGUGCCUAACACGACGCUCAUGAGAUACCACAAAAGGUGUUGGUUGAUCUAGACAGCAGGACGGUGGCCAUGGAAGUUGGAAUCCGCUAAGGAGUGUGUAACAACUCACCUGCCGAAUCAACCAGCCCUGAAAAUUAAUGGCGCUAGAGCGUUGGACCUAUGCUGGGCCGACACAGAAAGGUUCUAAGAAUUCUGUGUUGAGUAAGAGGGUUGCCGUGGUGAGCAUUGAAGCCGCUGCCGUGAGGUAGGGUGGA
Molecule: ribosomal RNA, 1525 nt
Filed under: Monotoplana diorchis
Lineage: Eukaryota; Metazoa; Platyhelminthes; Proseriata; Monotoplanidae
Description: eukaryotic LSU rRNA
Rfam family: Eukaryotic large subunit ribosomal RNA
Source: RNAcentral